GAUGAACGCUGGCGGCGUGCCUAAUACAUGCAAGUCGAGCGAACAGACGAGGAGCUUGCUCCUCUGACGUUAGCGGCGGACGGGUGAGUAACACGUGGAUAACCUACCUAUAAGACUGGGAUAACUUCGGGAAACCGGAGCUAAUACCGGAUAAUAUAUUGAACCGCAUGGUUCAAUAGUGAAAGACGGUUUUGCUGUCACUUAUAGAUGGAUCCGCGCCGCAUUAGCUAGUUGGUAAGGUAACGGCUUACCAAGGCAACGAUGCGUAGCCGACAUGAGAGGGUGAUCGGCCACACUGGAACUGAGACACGGUCCAGACUCCUACGGGAGGCAGCAGUAGGGAAUCUUCCGCAAUGGGCGAAAGCCUGACGGAGCAACGCCGCGUGAGUGAUGAAGGUCUUCGGAUCGUAAAACUCUGUUAUUAGGGAAGAACAAAUGUGUAAGUAACUAUGCACAUCUUGACGGUACCUAAUCAGAAAGCCACGGCUAACUACGUG
RNAcentral lists this ribosomal RNA (497 nucleotides) under uncultured bacterium. Its description in RNAcentral is "partial 16S ribosomal RNA". It matches the Rfam family "Bacterial small subunit ribosomal RNA", at positions 28 to 507 of the family's 1533-position model. The record is from RNAcentral.